UACGAGAGCCUCAAGCGUUAUCCGGAAUUAUUGGGCGUAAAGGGUGUGUAGGCGGCAAUGUUAGUCUCAUGUCAAAGCCUUCCCGCUUAACGGGAAGAUCGCAUGGGAAACGGCAUAGCUAGGAGGGUGCGAGAGGUGAAUGGAACUCACGGUGUAGGGGUGAAAUCCGUUGAUAUCGUGGGGAACGCCAAAAGCGAAGGCAAUUCACUGGCGCAUACCUGACGCUGAAACACGAAAGCCAGGGUAUCGAAUGGG
Molecule: ribosomal RNA, 255 nt
Filed under: uncultured bacterium
Lineage: Bacteria
Description: partial 16S ribosomal RNA
Rfam family: Bacterial small subunit ribosomal RNA
Source: RNAcentral